This 577-nucleotide ribosomal RNA is filed under the name uncultured bacterium. Its description in RNAcentral is "bacterial SSU rRNA". It matches the Rfam family "Bacterial small subunit ribosomal RNA", at positions 339 to 916 of the family's 1533-position model. The record is from RNAcentral.
CUACGGGAGGCAGCAGUGAGGAAUAUUGGGCAAUGGACGAAAGUCUGACCCAGCCAUGCCGCGUGCAGGAUGACGGCCCUAUGGGUUGUAAACUGCUUUUGUACAAGAAGAAACAUUUGUUCGUGAACAAACUUGACGGUAUUGUACGAAUAAGCAUCGGCUAACUCCGUGCCAGCAGCCGCGGUAAUACGGAGGAUGCAAGCGUUAUCCGGAUUUAUUGGGUUUGAAGGGUGCGUAGGCGGGACGGUAAGUCAGAGGUGAAAUCUUCCAGCUUAACUGGGAAACUGCCUUUGAUACUGUCGUCCUUGAGUAUAGUUGAGGUGGGCGGAAUGUGUAAUGUAGCGGUGAAAUGCAUAGAUAUUACACAGAACACCAAUUGCGAAGGCAGCUCGCUAAACUAUUACUGACGCUGAGGCACGAAAGCGUGGGGAGCGAACAGGAUUAGAUACCCUGGUAGUCCACGCUGUAAACUAUGAAUACUCGAUGUGUGCGACACACUGUACGCGUCUGAGCGAAAGCAUUAAGUAUUCCACCUGGGGAGUACGGUCGCAAGAUUGAAACUCAAAUGAAUUGACGG